GUCCGGGUCCCAUGCGGCGGGAGCCUCCGAACCGGGUCAGGUCCGGAAGGAAGCAGCCCUAAGGAAUGUCUCCCGGGUGUUGUGGGCUAGCCUGGGCCGA
This 100-nucleotide signal recognition particle RNA is filed under the name Candidatus Wallbacteria bacterium. Its description in RNAcentral is "signal recognition particle sRNA small type". It matches the Rfam family "Bacterial small signal recognition particle RNA". From Rfam's summary of the family: The signal recognition particle (SRP) is a universally conserved ribonucleoprotein involved in the co-translational targeting of proteins to membranes. Archaeal SRP consists of a 7S RNA and homologues of the eukaryotic SRP19 and SRP54 proteins. Lineage: Bacteria; Candidatus Walliibacteriota. The record is from RNAcentral.